CAGGAUAGGACGAAGGGCUGGUCUGGGCUCCGCCCUCAACAUAAGCUCAUGCGCUGUCCGUACCCGCAGGCGCGAGGGCGGGACGGGAGCUGUGGGCGUGCGCAGUAUCACGCGGUGGCGCCAUCUCGCCCUGCCGUGGAGGGCUGGGGGUUCUCUCCGGGAGGUGGCGCAGCCCCGUUGCUCUUUCAACGGAAGAAGGAGACAAGCUCAGAGCCACGAAGCCACCAGCCACAGUCAACAAUGUGCCGAAGGGACAAAGCAUAGAUUGGGACCCAGAUGGAGUCUCACUCUGUUGUCAGGCUGGAGUGCAGUGGCACAAUCUCGGCUCACUGCAACCUCCGCCUCCCGGUUUCAAGAGAUUCUCCAGCCUCAGGCUCCCGAGUAGCUGAGACUAUAGGCGUGCGCCACCACACCCGGCUAAUUUUUGUAUUUUUAAUAGAGACGGGGUUUCACCAUAUUGGCUAGGCCUGUUGGCUAGGAUGUUCUUGAUCUCCUGACCUCGUGAUCCCCCAACCUGAGCCUCCCAAAGUGCUGGGAUUACAGGCGUGAGCCACCGCACCCGGCCAGCAUUAAAUCUUAUAAUCUAUGAACCUGGUAUAUCUCCCUAUUUAUUUAUUUAUUUAUUUAUUUAUUUAAUUUAUAUUUUGAGAGGGAGUCUCGCUCUUUCACCCAAGCCAGAGUGCAGUGGCGCUAUCUCGGCUCACUGCAAGCUCUGCCUCCCAGGUUCACGCCAUUCUCCUGCCUCAGCCUCCCGAGUAGCUGGGACUACAGGCGCCCACCACCGCACCUGGCUAAUUUUUUGUAUUUUUAGUAGAGACGGGGUUUCACCGUGUUUGCCAGGAUGGUCUCGAUCUCCUGACCUCGUGAUCCGCCUGCCUCGGCCUCCCAAAGUGCUGGGAUUACAGGCGUGAGCCACCAACGCCCGGCAAUCUCCCAAUUUAUUUAGCCAUUCCUUAACUUCUACCAGCAAUGUUUUUUAGUUUUCAGUGUAUAGGUCUUGUAAAUCUUUUGUCAGGUUAUCCCUAUGUAUUUCAUAUUUUAUGAUAUUAUAAAUGUUAUUAAAAUUUUUUAAAUUUCUGAUUUUUGUUUCCUUAUGCUUAAAAAUAUGAUUGACUUUUGCACAUUAUUCUGUGAUCUUGUAAAAAUCAUUUAUUAGUUUUAGGAGUUUCUGUAGAUUUCCUGGAGUUUUUUUUGUGACAACUAUGUCAUUAGUGAAUAAAGACAGUUUUAUUUUUCUUCCUUUUCAAUCGA
Molecule: long non-coding RNA, 1251 nt
Organism: Homo sapiens (human)
Lineage: Eukaryota; Metazoa; Chordata; Mammalia; Primates; Hominidae
Exons: 3
Source: RefSeq, a predicted model, not a curated record